Long non-coding RNA from Nematostella vectensis (starlet sea anemone), 1117 nucleotides. RefSeq lists it as uncharacterized. NCBI's taxonomy places the organism in Eukaryota, Metazoa, Cnidaria, Anthozoa, Actiniaria, Edwardsiidae. The transcript has 2 exons. The record is from RefSeq and is a predicted model, not a curated record.
UUUAACAUUUUGUGCUUCUUCAUUGGUCAGCGACUUGGACAGCGACAGCGGAGAUAUGGCGUGAUUGGAAACCAUACAUCAGUGCUGGCCAAUAAAAACGCUCAAGGGAUUUUGAAUGACGGGAGCCAGAAGCCAAUUUAGCUGUUCAAAAUCGUCGGCGAGAGUCUCAGAAUAAUGAAAAGCGCAGAAAUAAAAAAAAUGUUUUUGUAAAUAAUUUUUUUGUCAACCACUGUUGAAAAAAGAUCUGUCCCAGUGUUUACAAGCGCGCUAUAAUUUGGCUGAAAUUGAAAAUGGUCCAAGUAACCUAGUGCGGGGUAUAGAAAAAGCACUACGAGUUCGUUAAAAAUGUUCGAGAUGCUGAGUAUUUAUUUAUCGGAAUCCCAGUACUGUAGACAGAAAGACGAGAAAGUUAGCCUAAAAGACACUACGCCACUCGUUCUCACCUACAUUAUUUAACACUAGACUAGCAGGUAAACCUAAACAGCCUAUCUAAUCUGGAUUCGAUCGUGUUGUAUAGCAAUGGACAAAAUAAGUCAACAGAACCCUUUUAGGCUUGUACAAGGUUUACCAAGCUGCGCCUACACACAGCCGUUCUUGCACAUACAGCUCCAGGUGCGGGCGCGCCAAGCCAAACACAGGAACACAGUAGCUGGCAUGUCUUACCAUAGCUGACAGGCAGUGUGUUACACCGUCUUCACUUGUAAUGACAGAAAAGGGAACAGCUGGUACCAGAGGUUGUGACAAGAGACAAACGCACGAUGGGCAGUACAGUCGAAUCGAGUCGAAGCCAUCGUCAGUGACGACACUUUUAAACUGAAAAUUGUGAUUGUUAACGGCGCUGCAAAAACAAGACUUUGUUGGUGGUUUGAAAUUGUGGUCGCUAUUGGGUCUGGUCGAUUACGAAAGCGGUCGCCCAGAGAGUUUCGACUGUUAUUUAUUGACCUCCGACCUUGAAAACAGCAUAAAAACUUUCAGUGCCCAAAAACACAGUGAAAAAAACUAGACUUAGCGGUUAUGCUUUCUCCUCACGGCAUUUGGCAGGGGGUGGGUGGGGGGUCUCUAGGGAGAUCGGUCUUGUAUACAAAGGUUACGGCAAUAUCUUAUAUUACGUCAAUAU